GAUGAAGAACGUAGCGAAAUGCGAUAAGUAAUGUGAAUUGCAGAAUUCAGUGAAUCAUCGAAUCUUUGAACGCACAUUGCGCCCCCCGGCAUUCCGGGGAGCAUGCCUGUUCGAGCGUCUUUUGGAAUACCCCUCACGCCGGCGGAGGCGUGGUCAUGGCGGCGGUGGCGUGCCCCGAGAGGGAGGCCACCGCGCUGGAAUCCAUGGGCGGACGCCUGCCGCGUGGCCGAGCGUGAUAAGACGCACUGGCGCUCGCGCGCGGCGAGGCUGCCGGCCCUGGCCCGCUCGUCGGGCGGGGACAGCAACACUUGGGAACUCCUCGAAUCAGGUAGGGAUACCCGCUGAACUUAAGCAUAUCAAUAAGCGGAGGA
RNAcentral lists this unclassified non-coding RNA (371 nucleotides) under soil metagenome. RNAcentral's name for it is "partial contains 5.8S ribosomal RNA, internal transcribed spacer 2, and large subunit ribosomal RNA". The stretch from base 1 to 120 matches the Rfam family "5.8S ribosomal RNA", at positions 35 to 154 of the family's 154-position model. The record is from RNAcentral.